This 6522-nucleotide long non-coding RNA is filed under the name Musa acuminata (dwarf banana). Its description in RNAcentral is "long non-coding RNA (MACU_LNC002914)". The record is from RNAcentral. Lineage: Eukaryota; Viridiplantae; Streptophyta; Magnoliopsida; Zingiberales; Musaceae.
AUGUCCACGAGACUGUCGUUCCAGGACCCCAUGUCCGACAACUGGCGACCCGGUCGAACGACGAAGAUAUCAAAGUCCAUGAGGUGUUCAAGAAGGGCGCGGUGACCGGUGAAGCUUCACUUAGUGAGCCUGCAUCGGGGAAACAACGCUCGAGCAGCAGGAUCGGCGGCGCUGGCCCUUCUGUGACGAGUCGCCACCACCUUCUUUAGCACAAAGGCUAGCAGACAACAGAAAUGGUCGCCAAAGCUCUGAGAAAUAUGCAUGAUGGUUGAAUAAGUGUGCUUAUUUGAUUGUGUGCCUGUUUACACUUGCAUUCAUUCCAUUCAUUGUUAUCUGCUGUGUGUGUAUUGUGAUUAUUUAAGAGCUGCAUUCAUUUGCAGAUAAGUAAUUCGGUCCUCGUAUUCAAUUUGGAUGAAUUUUAGAUUCUUGUGGCUACCAUCAAAGUGAUUCGUUUAGGGCAUAACUUGGAGUUAAGAGAUUGUUUUGGAUGGUGGCAGGUGCAGAACCUGCAUAUAACUUCAAGUGAAUGUGUAUCGACUAGAUUCAUGCUAGACAUAUAAUGGUCUCUUGAUCCCUCUUCCUCCUCUUAGACAUCUUCGUCUCCACUGCUUCCCACUUUAUCCUCUCCUAUGACCUCACCUAUCGUACUUAUGACAUCAUGGUUUAGCUCUCCCUCACUUCCGCCUUCGGCCUUUUCUACCUCUGUCUCUCUACCUUCAUUCAUUGCUAUGGCUUCCGUCGUUUUCUUUUCCUCGACAAGAUGAAAGUAUAUUUAAUGAAAAUCAUAAUUUUAAAAAAUAAAUCAUUAUUUUUUACAUUAGCUUUUAAUACAUGCCGAGAGAAAUAUUUUUCGACUGGUUGCCAUUCAUAUGUUGGUGCUCAUCUUUUAAGAGUAUAUAUAUACCUACUUUUAAGUGUCAAACAGUACAAUACACAGGAGCUAUAGUUGGAUGGACCUUUAGGGUAAUAUCUAGGCUAGUUCACUGUCUUAUUUCAUAGUAGUGUCAUAUGGACACUUGUGGGGACUUUAGGUCGCGACGGACCACUUUCAACACUUUGUCAUAUGGCCAUUAAGAGCUUGCAAAUUUCAUAUUUGUAACUUACAUUGCAUAUCAAGUGCUUGCUAAAAUGGUUAUUUGUGGAUCGCAAGUUAAAUGUUUUAUCUAACUCAUCUUAUAUUUUGUAAGUCCUUAAGAGACCAUAGAAGGUUUCGAUGAGGCUAAUCCUUUACGAAUAAACGAACAAUGGUGCUAUAUGUUACGAAUAACUCAUCUUAUAUUUAGUAACCAACUCGAAACAUGGAGUCCAUGUUGAAUCUCGGAUUUUGAUGGUGAAAUCAAUUGAUGAAGUUAUGAUAUAAUCAACGUUCGAGUGAUGUAGGACUAACUUCGAUCAUAGAAAGAUAAAUUGAUUGAAGAAGGAAGAAUCAGAUGUUGGGCUGGAGUGGAACAUGUCAGAAGAAUAAACAUCGGGUCGGAGGACCGACCGACAUGCUAGAAGGAUUUCGUGUCAUGAGUUUGAGCAUUGGGCUAGAAGGAUCGGACAUUGAACCAAGGAGAUCGGAUGUUGCGGGAAGUCAACAUGCCGAUGGUCGGACAAUACGUUGAAGGAGAGUGAUGUAUCAAAGGAUCAGAUGAAGCACCGGAUAAACCAAUAACAUGCCAAACAACAUAAGAUUCACGCUUGUAAUCAUGUAUGUUUAGAUCAAAAUAGUCUAUAUCGAAUUGAGUUAGUUUUGUGUAUAACUAGAUUAACAAAAUUAGGGAACCAUUGGGCCUGAUUUAGGGCUAAGUUGGGCUCAUUCAGUGACCUAGGGUUAGAUCAGGCGAUGGAACCGCUUAUGAGCUGAAAAAAUAUGAAAUAUACUUCUUCUAAAAAACCAGGCAGUGGUUCCACCGAUGUCAAGCGAUGGUAUCACCCAGUGUUAGUCUGUUAAGCAAUAGUACCACCCAGAAUAGGUGGUGGUAACGUCAGUUGUCAAUCUAGCAGACGGUGGUACUGUUAGUAUCCCGGAAACCCGGGAUGAGAUACAUUUUAGCUUCAUUUUUGAAGUUAUUUAGGGCCUAUAUAUAUCUUACUCUUUCUAGCUUAUAAAGGAAAGAUAAGAGAAUGAAAACUUGUGUUUUAGAGUAUGAAAACUACUAUUCAUAGGUGCCCAGGAAGCCAAUUAUGUGAGUGAUAGCAUGUGUGACUUGACACGUAGUCGUUUUGCUUAUUAUAUUUUGACAUUUAUCACUUUAUAUUGACUAUUGCAUAUAUGCAUGUAUAUAUAGUCAUGUCAUUGGAUCUAUGCAAUAGGAAUCGGAUCGUGAUGAGAUCACGAUAAUGAGACCAAUUCACUUUUAAACAUAAAUCGUAAAUAAUCCCGGUCAUAGGUUACUUGAGAGGGACAUCGAGAUAACCAGACAGACUGGUGUGCUAUAUACCCGUUCAUAUGAUGGAUGCAACUGAUCUUAUAGUUGCUCGUGUGGGGGCACUAGAGAUAUAGUAAAGGUGCUCAUUGGAGAAUUAGUUCAUUGAUUGAUCCACUUACGAAAUGAUGGAUGGUUGAUGAUACAUUAUUGUCAAAUAGUGAUUUCGUAGUCCUAGUGGUAUAUUUGGUCCUUAGACUUGAGACACCAAGGAUGUCAUGUAUGAGGGCUCUAUUCUUUGAUACCGGACUUAUAGGUUUGGAUGUCCCAGAUCUAGUACAACUGGCAAUCGGGAGUGGCAGUCAACCUUACGAGGGCUAUUGAGUGUCGAUAGAGGAUCAUAUACUCUCGAUGUCAUGAGAGGAAUAUCCCAUGUAUUCUUGCUCAAACAAAUCCCUGACCAGGGUCAUUCGGAUUGAGAGAGAAAGAGUUCUCUGGGAGAAUCCGAUUAGAGCAAGACUCGAGAAGAAACCGUAUGGGUUUGACAGCACCAUGCCCGAUAUACGGUCUUUGGGAUAUUAGAUGGAUGAUGGACUAUAGGUACAGGGUAAUUAAGGACAGACAGAUCCAAUGGAUUGGAUUCCCUUGUAUCGUCUGGAGACUGCGGCGUAGUGACCUAGUACAUCCGUAGUCGAUGAGUCGAGUGAAUUAUUAUGAAGAUAAUAAUUUACUGAGCUAGAAGGAGUUCUAACAAGUAUGACUCACGACCAGCUCAAUAUUGGGCAUAAAAGGUCACACACAUAUGGUAGGCGUUACGAUGAGUAGAGGUUCGGAUAUGAGAUAUCCGUCGGAGCCCCUAUCUUAUUGGAUAUCCAAUAAGCCGCUAAAUUAUUGGAUCCCAUGGACGAGAUCCAAAAAAAGCCCAUGAGACAUUAUUAGAUAGAGAUCCACUAAUCUAAGAAGCUUAAGUAGUUGGAUAAAGAUUUAAUACCCAAUAGAGGAGGAUCCAUUAGGGUUAAGUUGACAGGGGACCUCUAUAAAUAGGAGGGAUUCAUUGGUUCAUAAGCUAGAGCUUUUGCUUGCCUCUUAUAUUCUCCUCCCCCUCUCUACCUCAAAGCAUACCCGGAGUUUGGAGAAGCAUCAUCGCUGCCCUGCUAUGUGAAUCACCACUAGAGAGGAGGACACUUGUCCUCCUUCACCCUCUCCUAAAGAUCUGCAAGGAUUCAGGGAUAUAUGAUUUCCCUAGGUAAUAUAAUCUUUACUAUGCGUAGUUUUCUAUUUUGUGGAUUUUGCUCACCAAUCUUCGCACGACGAUAAACAUCUCUUUAGGAAUAGGAGAUUUUGUUUUAUGUUCUUCCACUAUGCAUGUGAUGUCGCCCCUCAAGAUUUCCCAACAAAAACUCUAUUAGAAAGUUAAGUCUUUCCUCCUUGAGCUUAGAGAUUGUUCUAAGGGAGGUUUUGAGGAUUUUCUUAUAAAAGAGGGUUGUAAAGGUUCUCUCUUGAACUUGUCAAGAGAAGAAAGAGUUAUAAGAGGGUAGUUGAUCUUCACCUAUUGAAAGAAGAUCAGUAGUGAAUGCUGAUGGCCUCGACGGAAGAGGAAUCGGGAGUUGGCGUAAGUCACGACGACCGAACCACUAUAAACUCGAUUUGCAUUUCUGUUCAGGCUUUCUAUUAAUAUUGCUUAUUGAUUUACUUGCUCACUACUUUUAUGUAUGUUGUAAGUUAAACAUCUUUUCGACAUAGGUUUGAUCGAAUGAAAAUUUUCUAAAACAUCAAAGUUUUUACGAAGCACUAAUUCACUCUCCCUCUUAGUGUUGAAACGGUCCUAACAGUACAACUCUUGAGGAGACAAGUAAAGUCGAGGAAUAUUUAUCUUCUCAACUCUUAAGAGAAUGAGCAAAACUGAGAAUCCUAGUUCUCUUAUUUAUUUAGUAGAUGAGCAUUAUAUUAGUUUAAAGACCCUUCAAAGAAACUUAGUAGAAGAUAAUAUUUGUUAAAUCCUUACCAAUAGUGAUCAGUGCUAUCGAAAGUUGACAGUUCACUUCAUUUUCCAACAAAAUACCAAUCAAAAAUGAAAGUGAAGUGAACCUACUUGGCGAUGACAACUAAGUAGAAUCAGAAUCGAUAGGUAAAUUUUACAAAGGAAAGACCCAAAAACUUUAAAGUCUGUGAGGCGAUGCUCACUAAAGCUUCAACAGACAUCCACCCAAUUCAAGCGGCAUGAUACGUUUAAAGAAUGGCACAUAAUAAGUAAGGACUUUUCCUUUAUUUAAAGGAUUGUGGGAACCAAUAAAGAUCAACACAACUCAGUCAACUCCACACCAUAGUAUGGUGGAUCAAAGUUCGAUUACUCUACAAUAAUGAUGAAGUGCAGUUGGAAACUAAGAGGCAUGUAGAGCAAAAGAUUAAAAAUUCGGUAAAAGCUAGGAGAUGUAACGUCCACAAAGGCUUCGACAAGGACAUUGAAUGAAUAAAUGGGGGAGUGUCAUGGACUAAGCUGCAAACGAGAGUUUAAUAUAAUGCUUAUGUAUAUUCGUGUCUUUCGGUUUUGUUCACAACAUGUAAAAGGCUUAUGGUAAGCAUGACAACUCUAUUUCAGUUGGCUUUAGUGGUCAUUUUAAGCUUAUAAAUACAGGUCAUGUGUAAUCAUCAUGUAGAGACAAAACUAUCUAAAAAUAAGCCAUCCAAGUAGUUAUUUUGGGGUUUUUUUAGCUCUAUAGAGUAGUAUGGAAUUUCAACCAACACAACACCUAGGAGCUACCUGGUUGACACAGCUUGAUGGGCUUUUGGUGUAGGAUUUAGGAUUGGUUCGAUACCUCAUUUAAUAGUAGUAUCAUAUGGGUACUUAUAUAGAUUUUGGGUCAUGAUGGACCACCUUGGACCUUUUAUAACAUGAUCGUUCAAAACUUGUAAAAUCUAUAUUUGUAACUUAUAUUGUCUAUUAAAUAUUUACUGAAAUAAUUAAAUAUGAAUCCCGAGUUAAAUAUUUUCUCUAACUCAUCUUUUUUUAAUAUCCAAAAUUCGAUAUUGUAUGAUUUAAUUAAAAUCAACUAAGUUAAUUAUAUAAUGCAAGAGUGUUUUGUUCUUAUGGCUUACACUAGUAAGCUAGGGGAUUCUAUGCAAAAGGGCAUGCUCAAGAUGGCAGCCAGUUCAUGUCAAGGACACAAUGGGCCACGAAUGCUCAACCUAAGCAACAAUUGUUUGCAAGCCACCUUUGCGAAGCCUUAGCAUGAGAGUCAAGUCUUCUGAGAAUCUCCUACCCGAUGCGGCCCUUCUUCUUCUUUCAACUCUCGAUCGAUACUACAAAUACCCACACACCCCAUCCUCUCUCUCCAUCCCCUCCACAGUCGUCCUCGAGUCUCUUCAAACAUAAUGGCCUUCGUCCCGCCUCGAAUGCCACCGCGUCCAUUUGCGCCACCUCCUCCAAAGGUAUCCCCGUCUAUACCACCUCCGCCGAAUCGCCGGAGCCCCCCACCACCCUCACCUUCGAAGCAAACACCACCUCCACCACCUCGCCGCAGACCCCCGCCACCCCCACCUCCGAAGAAAGCGCCACCACCACCGCCAAGAAGGAUGGCCCCGCCUCCGGCACCCGUCCGCCCUCCACCACUGGUGCCGCCGCCACCGAGCCCGAACCACACCGUGAUCAUCGUCGUGUUCGUCUCCCUCGGCGGCCUUCUCCUCCUCGCAUGCCUCGCGGCGGCACUGUUUUGCUGCAUCAAGAAGAGAAAGAAGAAGAUGGCGUUCGCCGUGGACGUGGCGGACCGUGUGCAUGUCCACGAGACUGUCGUUCCAGGACCCCAUGGCCAACAACUGGCGACCCGGUCGAUCGACGAAGAUGUCAAAGUUCAUGAGGUGUUCAAGAAGGGCGCGGUGACCGGUGAAGCUUCACUUAGUGAGCCUGCAUCGGGGAAACAACGCUCGAGCAGCACGAUCGGCGGCGCUGGCGCUCCUGUGACGGGUCGCCACCACCUUCUCUGGCACAAAGGCUAGCAGACAACAGAAAUGGUCGCCAAAGCUCUGAGAAAUAUGCAUGAUGGUUGAAUAAGUGUGCUUAUUUGAUUGUGUGCCUGUUUACACUUGCAUUCAUUCCAUUCAUUGUUAUCUGCUGUGUGUGUAUUGUGAUUAUUUAAGAGCUGUAUUCAUUUGCAGAUAAGUAAUUCGUUCCUCG